CCUACGGGAGGCAGCAGUGGGGAAUAUUGCUCAAUGGGGGCAACCCUGAUCCAGCAACGCCGCGUGAAGGAAGACGGCUCUCGGAUUUUUAACCUUCGUUUUUACUGUAGUAAAAUGAGGGUAGUUUAGCUGUUUGCCAGUGCUAACUACGUGACAGUAGCCGAGGUAAUUCGCAGCUGGCACGCGUUUACCGGAAUUACUGGGUGUAACGGGAGCGCAGGCGGGUAGCCAAGUCAGCUGUGAAAGGUAGGGGCUUAACUUGUAAACUGCAGUUGAAACUGGUUGUCUUGAGUGAAGUUGAGGUAGGCGGAAUUCCGGGUGUAGCGGUGAAAUGCGUAGAUAUACGGAAGAACACCGAUGGCGAAGGCAGCCAACUAAGCUUUAACUGACGCUGAGGCUCGAAAGUGUGGGGAGCAAACAGGAUUAGAUACCCCUGUAGUC
Molecule: ribosomal RNA, 441 nt
Filed under: uncultured bacterium
Lineage: Bacteria
Description: partial 16S ribosomal RNA
Rfam family: Bacterial small subunit ribosomal RNA
Source: RNAcentral